This 91-nucleotide small nucleolar RNA is filed under the name Ovis aries (sheep). RNAcentral's name for it is "Small nucleolar RNA U3 (multiple genes)". It matches the Rfam family "Small nucleolar RNA U3". Rfam says of the family: Small nucleolar RNAs (snoRNAs) are involved in the processing and modification of rRNA in the nucleolus. There are two main classes of snoRNAs: the box C/D class, and the box H/ACA class. The record is from Rfam by way of RNAcentral. Lineage: Eukaryota; Metazoa; Chordata; Mammalia; Artiodactyla; Bovidae.
AAGACUAUACUUUCAGGGAUCAUUUCUAUAGCUCGUUACUAGAGAAGUUUCUCUGAACGUGUAGAAGAAACUAUGAAACUUCUAGAGGAGA